This 117-nucleotide non-coding RNA is filed under the name Fragilariopsis kerguelensis. The record is from RNAcentral. Lineage: Eukaryota; Bacillariophyta; Bacillariophyceae; Bacillariales; Bacillariaceae.
CACCCACCAAAAUUAAAUGAAUGAUGAAUGAAUCAAUGGAAAAAAUAAUAUCAAUGGAGGGAAUGGAACAAUUUCGAAAUUGUGCUUGUUUUUGUUGUUCUUGUUCUUCUUUGUUUU